This 794-nucleotide ribosomal RNA is filed under the name uncultured archaeon. Its description in RNAcentral is "bacterial SSU rRNA". It matches the Rfam family "Archaeal small subunit ribosomal RNA", at positions 85 to 879 of the family's 1478-position model. The record is from RNAcentral.
ACGGCUCAGUAACACGUGGAUAACCUGCCCUAAGGAAGGGGAUAACCCCGGGAAACUGGGGAUAAUACCCUAUAGGUUACAGAUGCUGGAAUGCUUUGUAACCCAAAGUUCCGACGCCUUAGGAUGGAUCUGCGGCCGAUUAGGUUGUUGUCGGGGUAACGGCCCAACAAGCCAGUAAUCGGUACGGGUUGUGGGAGCAAGAGCCCGGAGUUGGAUUCUGAGACACGAAUCCAGGCCCUACGGGGCGCAGCAGGCGCGAAAACUUUACAAUGCGGGCAACCGUGAUAAGGGAACCUCGAGUGCCUGUAUAUGCAGGCUGUCCAGGUGUCUAAAACACACCUGAAGAAAGGGCCGGGCAAGACCGGUGCCAGCCGCCGCGGUAAUACCGGCGGCUCGAGUGGUGGCCACUUUUAUUGGGCUUAAAGCGUUCGUAGCUGGGUUGUUAAGUCUCUUGGGAAAUCUGACGGCUUAACCGUCAGGCGUCUAAGAGAUACUGGCAAUCUUGGAACCGGGAGAGGUGAGGGGUACUUCGGGGGGUAGGGAGGUUGAAAUCCUGUAAUCCUCGAGGGACCACCUGUGGCGAAGGCGCCUCACCAGAACGGCUUCGACAGUGAGGGACGAAAGCUGGGGGAGCAAACCGGAUUAGAUACCCGGGUAGUCCCAGCCGUAAACGAUGUGCGUUAGGUGUAUCGGUGACCACGAGUCACCGAGGUGCCGAAAGGGAAACCGUGAAACGUACCGCCUGGGAAGUACGGUCGCAAGGCUGAAACUUAAAGGAAUUGGCGGGGGAGCAC